This 486-nucleotide ribosomal RNA is filed under the name uncultured bacterium. RNAcentral describes it as "partial 16S ribosomal RNA". It matches the Rfam family "Bacterial small subunit ribosomal RNA", at positions 30 to 507 of the family's 1533-position model. The record is from RNAcentral.
AUUGAACGCUGGCGGCAUGCCUAACACAUGCAAGUCGAACGGCAGCACGGGAGCUUGCACCUGGUGGCGAGUGGCGAACGGGUGAGUAAUACAUCGGCACAUGUCCCGUAGUGGGGGAUAGCCCGGCGAAAGCCGGAUUAAUACUGCAUACGCACAACGGCUGAAAGCGGGGGCCCUUCGGGCCUCGCGCUUUAGGGUUGGCCGAUGGCUGAUUAGCUAGUUGGUGGGGUAAAGGCCUACCAAGGCGACGAUCAGUAGCUGGUCUGAGAGGAUGAUCAGCCACACUGGAACUGAGACACGGCCCAGACUCCUACGGGAGGCAGCAGUGGGGAAUAUUGGACAAUGGGCGAAAGCCUGAUCCAGCAAUGCCGCGUGUGUGAAGAAGGCCUUCGGGUUGUAAAGCACUUUUGUCCGGAAAGAAAACCUGGGCCCUAAUACGGUCGUGUGAUGACGGUACCGGAAGAAUAAGCACCGGCUAACUACGUG